GGGCGUGUGGCUCAGUUGGCAGAGCAUCUCCAUGACGCGGAGAGGGUCGGGGGUUCGAUUCCCUCCACGCCCACCA
This 76-nucleotide transfer RNA is filed under the name Acidimicrobiales bacterium. RNAcentral's name for it is "tRNA-Val". It matches the Rfam family "tRNA". Rfam says of the family: Transfer RNA (tRNA) molecules are approximately 80 nucleotides in length. Their secondary structure includes four short double-helical elements and three loops (D, anti-codon, and T loops). RNAcentral also lists the same sequence under 1 other name. Lineage: Bacteria; Bacillati; Actinomycetota; Acidimicrobiia; Acidimicrobiales. The record is from RNAcentral.